Molecule: unclassified non-coding RNA, 190 nt
Filed under: uncultured Paecilomyces
Lineage: Eukaryota; Fungi; Ascomycota; Eurotiomycetes; Eurotiales; Thermoascaceae
Description: sequence contains ITS2
Source: RNAcentral
CAACCCUCAAGAUCCCUUCGGGGGACUUGGUGUUGGGGACCGGCACAGGGCCUGCUUGCUUGUCUCGCAGCGCCUCGCCGCCUCCGAAAUGAAUUGGCGGCCUCGUCGCGGCCUCCUCUGCGUAGUAGCACAACCUCGCAACGGGAGCGUGACGCGGCCACUGCCGUAAAACAACCCAAUUUUAUUAGAG